RNAcentral lists this ribosomal RNA (361 nucleotides) under uncultured bacterium. RNAcentral's name for it is "bacterial SSU rRNA". It matches the Rfam family "Bacterial small subunit ribosomal RNA", at positions 28 to 389 of the family's 1533-position model. The record is from RNAcentral.
GACGAACGCUGGCGGCGUGCUUAACACAUGCAAGUCGAGCGGUAAGGCCCUUUCGGGGGUACACGAGCGGCGAACGGGUGAGUAACACGUGGGUGACCUGCCCUCAGCUCUGGGAUAAGCCUGGGAAACUGGGUCUAAUACCGGAUAUGACUCCAUGACGCAUGUUGUGGGGUGGAAAGCCUUGUGCGGCUGAGGAUGGGCCCGCGGCCUAGUCAGCUUGUUGGUGGGGUGAUGGCCUACCAAGGCGACGACGGGUAGCCGGCCUGAGAGGGCGACCGGCCACACUGGGACUGAGACACGGCCCAGACUCCUACGGGAGGCAGCAGUGGGGAAUCUUGCGCAAUGGGCGAAAGCCUGACGC